Molecule: long non-coding RNA, 1224 nt
Filed under: Amphibalanus amphitrite
Lineage: Eukaryota; Metazoa; Arthropoda; Thecostraca; Balanomorpha; Balanidae
Description: uncharacterized LOC122389054
Source: RNAcentral
GUCCGUCCCUUUACCGGGCCAUAGGAGGAAAAUUGCUACCAAAUGCUGCCAAUGUGACGUCACUGGGAUGGUCGAAAGCUGAUUGGUCGCUGAGAUUCAGGCGAUGCUGUCAAUUCUGGCGCACCGGCGCAGUGUUUUCCAGCCGUUGCGUGUAUUGUUAUACGGAGUUUGAAUAUUAUUUAUUUGAUAAUAAUAUCACUUUUUAUGCGUUUGAAGAUCGGAAAAGCAUGCACAUAAGUGGCAUUCACACACUUGUCGUCUCAGAGAUCAUGAAGAAUGACCAGCUUCAGCAGUUCAGCUCAGGUCCGGGGCUGGUCCUCUGGCGUGCAGGACGGCGAGGAGUGGCUACCUGCACAUAACAACACAAUGACUGGCACCGAGCUGAGGGUAUAAAAUCACAUCAUAUCGACUUCAGCAUCUGUCUCCCAGCUUUGGAGACGUCGCCCGACUCCCGAGUCCCUGAGUGGCGAGCGCCAGUUUCCGAAAGGAAGUUGAGGAAGGCAACCCGAAAGCACCCGCUGGGCUGCCGACACUCCUGCGCUGCCAGCAGGGCGUGCUGCGCAGUAAAGCCUCGCUGCGUGGUCUGUACGACAUCCGACACCGGCACCCAGACGUGCAGUUUCUGAUGACAUCCCACCUCAACCAGGGCUGCCCCGAGAAUCUGCUAGUGCUGACUGCCUGCUGCUGAGGCCGACCUGCCGGACCUGUCGCCGCCCUGGUGAGCCUGAGCCGCCCUGGGACUUGCUGCCACCCCAGCGGGCCUGCCGCCGCGUCUACGCUACCGCCCUGGUGAAACAGGUCCGUCGUCGCCCUGCCGGACCUGUCGCCGCCCUGGUAAACCUGCUGCCGACCUGUCGCACUUGCCACCGCCCUGGUGAAUCUGCUGCCGACCUGCCUGACCUGUCGCUGCCGUGGUGAACCUGUUACUGACUUGCCGGACCUUUCUCGCCGCCUUGACGAGCUUGGGGAGCCUGUGCUGAGGUGCCACCGCUCUGUUUCACGUGUUAUGUUGCCCGGUUCCUGGCUGUCGCGGAGUCAAUCGGCACAUUGUGUUUGGAGAGGCGACAUCUUGUACAACUUUCCGACAGUUCGGAGCAUUUUAUUGUACCUACUCAAGUCGCAAGAGAUUAGGCUUGUGCCUUAUUUGUCCUCUACCAAUCUGUCCAAUAUGUUUUUUUUUUAUAACUACGAUUUAUGGUAUGACAUAAACCGGUAUAUUGUGUA